This is an RNA transcript of Actinia tenebrosa (Australian red waratah sea anemone), 1454 nucleotides long. RefSeq lists it as uncharacterized. The record is from RefSeq and is a predicted model, not a curated record. NCBI's taxonomy places the organism in Eukaryota, Metazoa, Cnidaria, Anthozoa, Actiniaria, Actiniidae.
CAUUGAAUGAAUGGUAUGGCCAAGUGAGCUCGCUCCAUGGCGACUAUGAUUUACGAGCGAGAAAGACAGCUAUAAACAUAAGCAUAGUAAAAAAAGGUUAUAAUUUUCUGAAAUUAUUAAAAAUAUUGUAGUUUUUAGCUUUUUCUUCCUUCCGGACAGGAAGAGUUUUGUAAACUCCGCCGCAACCUCCAUUCAAAACGAUCGGUGAUCCACAGAACAUUCAGUAAUCAAGCUUUUUUUUAAAAAAAAAUACAGCAGAGUUUAAUAGCUAAUAAAAAACUUCCCUUUUGCACCGCUAGGUAAGCAUUCUUUAUCUUUAUGGUAGAUUUACGAGCUUUUAGCUUCGUUAGGAACAGUAACAUAAACAACUUGAGAAGCGGGGGGAAAAAACAUCGCUUUAAAGAAAAAUCUAGAAACCAGCUUGUUUGUUCGGCGAAGCACGGAAAUUUGAAUUGCUUAUGUCACUAAACUAAUAAUAUUGGACUUAAAGUUUUUCUGGAUUUCUUUAAGACAGUUUCUAUGAAUCAAAGCUGUUAAAAUCAAUUUUCUAUGAAAAAUCAAUUUUAUCAUAUUUUUGAGCCUCUCUCUGACUGCUCUCUUUAUUCCAAGAAGCUUCAUCCCCGUCUGAACGGUUGUGAGUUCUCCUGUGGCUUCAGCUUCACGUAAGGUUUUUGAUUAAGAAAUUGCUCGACGUCUUUUGCAAAAGGUUUAGAAACUUUUGGUGAAAUUUUUCAGCUGAAAUCAUCCAAUGUCAAAUUAAAGCUCGACCAUGAGAAGACAACACUUUGGAAAAGUACUAAACAGCAGACAUAACAUCAGCACAAAGCAAGUUUUCCUUUGGAUAGCCUCCAACUUGGUUUAUCAAGUCUUUAUAUACAUCAUUUAAGUCUUCAUAGUUUGGCUUGCAGAACUUGCAUAUGCUGGUCGUAUUUGCAGAUGACGUGUUUGCUGCUGGAUUUACUGGAAUCUGUGGAAUGAGAUCAAAUAAAAUUUUAAAAUCCAUUUGUCUAUAAAUUUGAAGUUAUAUUUCAAAGCCAACAAUGAGGACUGGACGGGAUUUCAAGUCCAAGCAAUUAGUUCUAGUCCGAGGUGCAAUUCUGUGUAGUUCUAGUCCAAGGCGCAAUCGGACUUGAAAUUCUGUCCAGUCCGAUAUUGGAGGCUUUGAAAUAACUUCUCAUGCUCAUUAAUUAUUCGACUUGAAGUAACUGAAACAAAAUUAAUUCAGUCCUAGGACUGAAUUAAUUUUGUUCCAGUUACUGAAUGCAUUCCUUUCGCAUGAUUUUACCAGAUUUCAAGUAACAUGUGACCCAAAAAUAGCCCAUUGAUUGGUUGGUUGCCUCAUGAAUUAUUAAUGAGUAUGAGAAGCUAAAUGUCUGUUGCAAAACUUACCGUUGUAAAAUUUUUGAAGCAAUCAUACAAUAUUUGUUGCUUAUUAAAGAAGUCCUUCACUUUUG